GAUGAACGCUGGCGGCGUGCCUAAUACAUGCAAGUCGAGCGAACAGAUAAGGAGCUUGCUCCUUUGACGUUAGCGGCGGACGGGUGAGUAACACGUGGGUAACCUACCUAUAAGACUGGGAUAACUUCGGGAAACCGGAGCUAAUACCGGAUAACAUUUGGAACCGCAUGGUUCUAAAGUGAAAGAUGGUUUUGCUAUCACUUAUAGAUGGACCCGCGCCGUAUUAGCUAGUUGGUAAGGUAACGGCUUACCAAGGCAACGAUACGUAGCCGACCUGAGAGGGUGAUCGGCCACACUGGAACUGAGACACGGUCCAGACUCCUACGGGAGGCAGCAGUAGGGAAUCUUCCGAAAUGGGCGAAAGCCUGACGGAGCAACGCCGCGUGAGUGAUGAAGGGUUUCGGCUCGUAAAACUCUGUUAUUAGGGAAGAACAAAUGUGUAAGUAACUGUGCACGUCUUGACGGUACCUAAUCAGAAAGCCACGGCUAACUACGUG
Molecule: ribosomal RNA, 497 nt
Filed under: uncultured bacterium
Lineage: Bacteria
Description: partial 16S ribosomal RNA
Rfam family: Bacterial small subunit ribosomal RNA
Source: RNAcentral